RNAcentral lists this long non-coding RNA (1511 nucleotides) under Equus caballus (horse). RNAcentral's name for it is "lncRNA (ENSECAG00000053972.1)". Lineage: Eukaryota; Metazoa; Chordata; Mammalia; Perissodactyla; Equidae. The record is from RNAcentral.
GAACCAUGUGCCAGAGACACCGGAUGCACUUGCCGAGCACACCGCAACCUCCUGCUCGACUCGCCAGAACCACCUGCUGGAGAUGCCAAAAUCACCUGCUGGCUUGGCCAGAACCACGUGGCAGACUCUAUGGAAUGACAAGCCGGGCAUGCCGGAACCACCUCCCAGACCUGCCGGAAUCAUGUGCUGGACACGCUGGAACCACCUACUGGACAGACCGGAACCACAUACCGGACCUGCCUGAACCACCAGCCGAGCAUGCCGGACCCACCUGCUCGACUCGCAGGACCCACCUACCGGACAUGCCAAAAUCAGCUGCUGGCUAUGCCAGAAACAAUUGCCGGACAAUCCGGAAUCACCUGCCUGGCAUGCCGGAACCACCUCUCAAAUGUACCAGAACCACGUGCAAGAGACGCUGGAAGCACCUGCCAAGCAUGCCGGAACCACCUGAUCCACUCCCCAGAACCACCUGCCGGACCCGCCUGAACCACCUGCCGGCUAAGUGGGAACCACUUGGCGGACACUCCGGAAUCACCUGCCGUGCAUGCCGGAACCACCCCUCAGACGUGCCUGAAAAACGUGCCGGACACGCCAGAACCACCUCCUGGACUGACCGGAACCACCUUCCGGACAUGCCUGAACCACCUUAAGAGCACGCUGGAACCACCUUCUCGACUUGCUGGAACCAUCUGCCGGAUACGCCAAAAUCACCUGCCGGCUAUGCCAGAACCACUUGGCCGACACUCCGGAAUAACCUGCCGUUCAUGCCGGAACCGCCCCUCAGAUGUGCCAGAACCACGUGCUGGAUGCCCCAGACCACUUCCGUGAAAGACCGGAAGCACGUGCUGAGCAUGCCGGAAACACCUGCUCGACUCCCGGGAACCGCCUCCGGGGAAACUGUCAUAGAAAUGCAGGUCAAACGGCCUUUCUUGCCAGCCCUUAACUCGCCACUUUAGAACUUCUGCUUCUGCCACAAUGGCACCCUGCCAAUCCGGCUCAGACGAAAUGCCUACAUCUUCCCCUGAAGCAACUGGGCUGAGUCCCAAAUGAUUGAGCGUCCACGUGCUUAGGAGGCGAUAGACUGCACGCCUUUUUCCAACCACCAUUGUGCACUGCUGGAGAGAGUGUCGGAAAGCAGCUAUGUCCGAAAGACCCCUUUGCUCUCAGCCGUGCCCUCCAUUGCUCUAGACGUGGAAGGCACAAGGCACUGGCUCUGGAUCCACCCCUCAAUGGGAGACAAACCACAUCUUGUCCUGCUUCCAGCUCUUUGGGAAGCUGAGAAAAAACUCCCUUUCCACAGUGCUCUUACAGCGUCCUGGGAACAUCUCAUACAAAGGAGGCUGAACGCCGUUUCUUUUCAGCACUUCACUCGCCGGUCUGAAACAUCUGCAUCCUGAACAUUUCCAUCUAGCCAACCCAGGUCAGAAGAAAUGCCAACAUCUUCCCCAUGAGCAAUGGGGAUGAGGCCCAGAUGAUUGUGCCUCCACAUGCUUAGCAGGAGCAGACAAUAG